UACGUAGGGUGCGAGCGUUGUCCGGAAUUAUUGGGCGUAAAGAGCUUGUAGGCGGUUUGUCGCGUCUGCUGUGAAAAUCCGGGGCUCAACCCCGGACUUGCAGUGAGUACGGGCAGACUAGAGUGUGGUAGGGGAGACUGGAAUUCCUGGUGUAGCGGUGAAAUGCGCAGAUAUCAGGAGGAACACCGGUGGCGAAGGCGGGUCGCUGGGCCGAUACUGACGCUGAGGAGCGAAAGCGUGGGGAGCAGACAGG
Molecule: ribosomal RNA, 253 nt
Filed under: uncultured bacterium
Lineage: Bacteria
Description: partial 16S ribosomal RNA
Rfam family: Bacterial small subunit ribosomal RNA
Source: RNAcentral